AGAUGUCCCGGGACCGCCCCUGAAGUCCUCUUAGGGGGCGGCACGGGAGGGAGAACUUCGUGGGGGGCACGGCGGGUGGUGGCGGGUGUGGAAAACUGGGAGCGCCAGAGGGGCUGGGAAGGUGGGCGCGAAGGCACUCACCCCGACUUCUAAGCUGUGCGGAAGUGAAGGGGCGGAGCGGCGGGAGGGCGCUGGCCGCUCGUGAGAACCGGCGCGGGCGGGCCGGGGGCGGGGAGGCGCCCGGAGCAGGUGGUGCAGCCCGAGGCGGGCGGGAGGGGCUGGCGUGUCCUGGAGACGGGAAAAGCGGGGACGGAUGUGCUGAGCUAAUAAGCGUACAGCCAGAGCUGUCAAGGUUUAUUUAUGCAGGACAGAGAACUUAGAGAAGUUAUGCACUGACUGGUGGACACAUGUUCUAAGAUUUUCCUCCGUUCGGUUUAAGAGAAAAGAGCUUACAUAUUUCUGAUGCCUGGUGAUAUUUAAAAUUGAAAGUUGGUCACUUGAUAUUUUAUUAUGGGAUUGGGAGAAAGAGGAACAAAAGGCAUUUAUAAAGCAAAAGCCAUUUCUGUGAUGCAUUCUACCAAAAAUUUGAGAACGAAUGUGUUUCAACAAUCGGAUGCACGGAAUUUGUAGGAGGGUAGAGUGGGGCUUGUAUUGCCUGGGAGAUUCACUGCCAGGUGGUCAUGCAUAAGCCCCUACUCCAAGCUCUCAUUUUCCCUACCUGCAAAAUUAGACCAAUGAACACCCCUCCUGUCUCACCGCAUGUUUUGAGAUUCCGCGUGUAUGAGGGAGGGAGGGAGGGCUGGAGCGCGGGCCGGCGCGGAGUGGGGGUCCCUGGGCGCCGUCUGGGCCGCCCUCUCUCCCAGGCGUGCUCUGGACCGUCUCGUCCCCUCCCGGCGCGUCAUCCUGCUUCCGGAACCCCCGUGUCCUGAAGUCCAGGCAUAUUUAACUUGGAUGCCACAGAAAUCUCAAAAUCUAGGCGUUCUCAGCGGAGCUCGGCACCUUCCCUACAAGCCUCGCGUGUUUCCCGACUCAGCAAAGACAACACUACAGUCUGGUCAUUAUCCUUCUACCCCAAUUCACCUAGCCCCGGGAUCCGCUUUGCGUCUGCACUUCAGGCCGCCUGGUUGUCGCUGCUGCCGCUCUCAUGCCUCGGUGCGGGGCGCGGCGUCUCCCACCUGGACCUCCGGCGACCGCUCUCCGCUCUCUCCGCCUCCGCCCUUGCCCCUCCCCCGUCUCGACGGAGCAGCCAGUCAGAUGCUUUAUUUUAAUGUAAAUCCGAUCGUGUCACUCCUGUUUACAAUCUUUAAUGGGCUCUCUGUUGCUCUUGGGCUAAAGUCCUAUCUCCUUAAAUUCGCUUAAUAGGGCCCUCCUAAUCCAGUUUCCGCUUUCGUCUGGCCUGGAUCUUUUUACCUUGGGCCGCUCCUCCAGCCCUUCUUCGUGUUCCUCCCAACCUGGACUGCUUUCACUUCUCUCAGCUUGCCUACUCAAGCUGCUGCAGCGCUUCUCCGUCUCCUCCCCGCUUCCUUCGUUUCCUGCACCUCCUUCCCCAGCGUGAGCGUUAAGGGCGCCCGUGGAACCCCUUCCUUUGCAGCGCACCCGUAGCCUUGCACUGCCGUGGGCAGCCGUCCGACCGGGGGCGCAUCCCACGCCAGCCCUUUGGAGCGUGGGCUGCAUUGUUCCCAUUUCCUAGGACGGUCCUGACAAUACUGGCAGAGCCCAAGAGCACUUUUAGGAUACACAGUGAUGGGCGCAGAAAACCAAACAAGUAGCCUGAGAUCUUUGUUGAUUGAUUCAUUUUAUAUUGCUGUAUUUUUCAGUUUUAAAAUUUUCCAGUUUAUAAGAAUAGCAUGUUUUUUAAAUAUAUAUGUAUAUAUAAAUUUAAAACUGAUAGGACGUUUUACACCACAAACAAUUACAAAUCUCUUUUAGCAGAAAGUGUGUGGGUUUAUGAAAUGAAAUCAGGAACAGAGGCUCGAUGUUCAAUGCACAUGGGCAGAAAUGUUCACUUUAAGCUCAGAUGCUGAAACUUUAAAACAGCUGAAACUCAUACCCCAAUAAUGAUUAAAGGAAGGACCAGAAGAAAAGAGCAGUAAGCUGGGCUUAUUAUUAAUUUGUAGGCUAGUAAUUAUCGAUAGGUUAAGAAAUUGCUUUUGAAACAAUUCCUGGUACUGUUAAUAUUUCUAUUGUUUAUAUGAGAUGUCAGUGUAACAAAUUGAAAUUCUCAUUUUCCCAGUGCUCCCUCCCAGCUAGCAAUGAUAACGUAUGUGCCUUUGGAUCUGUAGUAUUUCUAAACAUGGUUCUGCUACACACUUUCCAAUAAAGUUAAAC
Molecule: long non-coding RNA, 2328 nt
Organism: Macaca fascicularis (crab-eating macaque)
Lineage: Eukaryota; Metazoa; Chordata; Mammalia; Primates; Cercopithecidae
Source: Ensembl